Molecule: ribosomal RNA, 502 nt
Filed under: Ceracris nigricornis laeta
Lineage: Eukaryota; Metazoa; Arthropoda; Insecta; Orthoptera; Acrididae
Description: partial 16S ribosomal RNA
Rfam family: Bacterial large subunit ribosomal RNA
Source: RNAcentral
GUCCUCUUGAACUAAUAUUUUGAGGUCUGGCCUGCUCACUGAAAAAUUUAAAGAGCCGCGGUAUUUUGACCGUGCAAAGGUAGCAUAAUCAUUAGUCUUUUAAUUAAGGGCUGGAAUGAAUGGCUUGACGAGAAAUUAACUGUCUCUUAAUAAUUUAUAUAAUUUAACUUUUAAGUCAAAAGGCUUAAAUUUUUCUUUAGGACGAGAAGACCCUAUAGAGCUUGACAUUUUAUUUAUAUAUAGUUUUUAGUUGGUCUUUCUAUAUAUAAUGAUAAUGUUUUGUUGGGGUGACAUGAAGAAUAAAUAAACUCUUCAUUAUAAAAUCAUUUAUUUAUGUUUAUUUUGAUCCAUAAUUUAUGAUCAUAAGAUUAAGUUACCUUAGGGAUAACAGCGUAAUUGUUUUUGAGAGCUCAUAUUAACAAAGCAGAUUGCGACCUCGAUGUUGGAUUAAGAAAAGUUUUGGGUGCAGUAGCUCAUUAACUAGGUCUGUUCGACCUUUAAA